CCUACGGGAGGCAGCAGUGGGGAAUAUUGGGCAAUGGGCGAAAGCCUGACCCAGCAACGCCGCGUGAGGGAAGAAGGUCUUCGGAUUGUAAACCUCUGUCCUCAGGGACGAAAAAAAUGACGGUACCUGAGGAGGAAGCCCCGGCUAACUACGUGCCAGCAGCCGCGGUAAU
Molecule: ribosomal RNA, 172 nt
Filed under: uncultured Clostridium sp.
Lineage: Bacteria; Bacillati; Bacillota; Clostridia; Eubacteriales; Clostridiaceae
Description: partial 16S ribosomal RNA
Rfam family: Bacterial small subunit ribosomal RNA
Source: RNAcentral